Long non-coding RNA from Dipodomys spectabilis (banner-tailed kangaroo rat), 457 nucleotides. RefSeq lists it as uncharacterized. The transcript is spliced from 3 exons. NCBI's taxonomy places the organism in Eukaryota, Metazoa, Chordata, Mammalia, Rodentia, Heteromyidae. The record is from RefSeq and is a predicted model, not a curated record.
UCUUAGCAUCACCAGUUACCAAGUACACAUAGGACCAAGCUCCAGCUUGCAAUAAAUGACUCUUUGCUGUUUGCAUUGAUCAUGGUCUCUGGUGGUCUGAGAGGGGGCGUCUGAAAUCUGAGCACUUUAUGUGGGAGCUUGUCCGGGAUAGCCCCCCCAUAAGCCACACAGAUACCUGAUCAGCGAGUCGUCCAGCUAGCCGGUGGGAUUCAAAAGAUCCGUUGAUGAAUUGCCUUGCUAAACAAGCGAGCCCUGGGAAAAUGAAGCUUAACAAAGAUCACCAUGAUACACUUAAUAACCAGCAGUGACCCUAUCAUCCAUGGGAACAGAUAGUCAUCAUGGCCUCCUGGUCUGGACCACAGGAGAGGCGGGUGCAUGCAGCUGAAGGGAGCAGCACAUGCUGCUGAAGGAGAUAGGUUGUCAAGCCCCACAUUGUGAGCUGCCAUGAAGUGAUUGG